UGGACCAAUAAUGAGGAUGUGUUACAACCAAGGAUUAUGAUUAAUCCAAUUUUGCGCACCUUGAGGUCCAAU
This 72-nucleotide small nucleolar RNA is filed under the name Vicugna pacos (alpaca). RNAcentral's name for it is "Small nucleolar RNA SNORD112 (ENSVPAG00000018094.1)". Lineage: Eukaryota; Metazoa; Chordata; Mammalia; Artiodactyla; Camelidae. The record is from RNAcentral.